GGUUAAGCGACCAAGCGUACACGGUGGAUGCCCUGGCAGUCAGAGGCGAUGAAGGACGUGCUAAUCUGCGAAAAGCGCCGGUAAGGUGAUAUGAACCGUUAUAACCGGCGAUGUCCGAAUGGGGAAACCCAGUGUGACUCGUCACACUAUCAUUAACUGAAUCCAUAGGUUAAUGAGGCGAACCGGGGGAACUGAAACAUCUAAGUACCCCGAGGAAAAGAAAUCAACCGAGAUUCCCCCAGUAGCGGCGAGCGAACGGGGAGGAGCCCAGAGCCUGAAUCAGCAUGUGUGUUAGUGGAAGCGUCUGGAAAGGCGCGCGAUACAGGGUGACAGCCCCGUACACAAAAGCGCAUGUGCUGUGAGCUCGAUGAGUAGGGCGGGACACGUGGUAUCCUGUCUGAAUAUGGGGGGACCAUCCUCCAAGGCUAAAUACUCCUGACUGACCGAUAGUGAACCAGUACCGUGAGGGAAAGGCGAAAAGAACCCCGGCGAGGGGAGUGAAAAAGAACCUGAAACCGUGUACGUACAAGCAGUGGGAGCACAGGUUUACCUGUGUGACUGCGUACCUUUUGUAUAAUGGGUCAGCGACUUAUAUUCUGUAGCAAGGUUAACCGAAUAGGGGAGCCGGAGGGAAACCGAGUCUUAAUUGGGCGUUAAGUUGCAGGGUAUAGACCCGAAACCCGGUGAUCUAGCCAUGGGCAGGUUGAAGGUUGGGUAACACUAACUGGAGGACCGAACCGACUAAUGUUGAAAAAUUAGCGGAUGACCUGUGGCUGGGGGUGAAAGGCCAAUCAAACCGGGAGAUAGCUGGUUCUCCCCGAAAGCUAUUUAGGUAGCGCCUCGUGAAUUCAUCUCCGGGGGUAGAGCACUGUUUCGGCCAGGGGGCCAUCCCGGCUUACCAACCCGAUGCAAACUGCGAAUACCGGAGAAUGUUAUCACGGGAGACACACGGCGGGUGCUAACGUCCGUCGUGAAGAGGGAAACAACCCAGACCGCCAGCUAAGGUCCCAAAGUCAUGGUUAAGUGGGAAACGAUGUGGGAAGGCCCAGACAGCCAGGAUGUUGGCUUAGAAGCAGCCAUCAUUUAAAGAAAGCGUAAUAGCUCACUGGUCGAGUCGGCCUGCGCGGAAGAUGUAACGGGGCUAAACCAUGCACCGAAGCUGCGGCAGCGAACGUAUCACCCAAGACAACUUUGCACAGUUGACGAUUGACGGAGCGGAGCGACGUCAAAGCGUUUUACAACGUUGAGUUGGCUUAGGGAUACGUUCGUUGGGUAGGGGAGCGUUCUGUAAGCCUGCGAAGGUGUGCUGUGAGGCAUGCUGGAGGUAUCAGAAGUGCGAAUGCUGACAUAAGUAACGAUAAAGCGGGUGAAAAGCCCGCUCGCCGGAAGACCAAGGGUUCCUGUCCAACGUUAAUCGGGGCAGGGUGAGUCGACCCCUAAGGCGAGGCCGAAAGGCGUAGUCGAUGGGAAACGGGUUAAUAUUCCCGUACUUGGUGUUACUGCGAAGGGGGGACGGAGAAGGCUAUGUUGGCCGGGCGACGGUUGUCCCGGUUUAAGCGUGUAGGUGUGUGUUCCAGGUAAAUCCGGUUCACUUUAACACUGAGGCGUGAUGACGAGGCACUACGGUGCUGAAGCAACAAAUGCCCUGCUUCCAGGAAAAGCCUCUAAGCAUCAGGUAACACGAAAUCGUACCCCAAACCGACACAGGUGGUCAGGUAGAGAAUACCAAGGCGCUUGAGAGAACCCGGGUGAAGGAACUAGGCAAAAUGGUGCCGUAACUUCGGGAGAAGGCACGCUGACACGUAGGUGAAGUGAUUUACUCAUGGAGCUGAAGUCAGUCGAAGAUACCAGCUGGCUGCAACUGUUUAUUAAAAACACAGCACUGUGCAAACACGAAAGUGGACGUAUACGGUGUGACGCCUGCCCGGUGCCGGAAGGUUAAUUGAUGGGGUCAGCGCAAGCGAAGCUCCUGAUCGAAGCCCCGGUAAACGGCGGCCGUAACUAUAACGGUCCUAAGGUAGCGAAAUUCCUUGUCGGGUAAGUUCCGACCUGCACGAAUGGCGUAAUGAUGGCCAGGCUGUCUCCACCCGGGACUCAGUGAAAUUGAACUCGCUGUGAAGAUGCAGUGUACCCGCGGCAAGACGGAAAGACCCCGUGAACCUUUACUAUAGCUUGACACUGAACAUUGAGCCUUGAUGUGCAGGAUAGGUGGGAGGCUUUGAAGUGUGGACGCCAGUCUGCAUGGAGCCAACCUUGAAAUACCACCCUUUAAUGUUUGAUGUUCUAACGUGGACCCGUGAUCCGGGUUGCGGACAGUGUCUGGUGGGUAGUUUGACUGGGGCGGUCUCCUCCUAAAGCGUAACGGAGGAGCACGAAGGUUGGCUAAUCCUGGUCGGACAUCAGGAGGUUAGUGCAAUGGCAUAAGCCAGCUUGACUGCGAGCGUGACGGCGCGAGCAGGUGCGAAAGCAGGUCAUAGUGAUCCGGUGGUUCUGAAUGGAAGGGCCAUCGCUCAACGGAUAAAAGGUACUCCGGGGAUAACAGGCUGAUACCGCCCAAGAGUUCAUAUCGACGGCGGUGUUUGGCACCUCGAUGUCGGCUCAUCACAUCCUGGGGCUGAAGUAGGUCCCAAGGGUAUGGCUGUUCGCCAUUUAAAGUGGUACGCGAGCUGGGUUUAGAACGUCGUGAGACAGUUCGGUCCCUAUCUGCCGUGGGCGCUGGAGAACUGAGGGGGGCUGCUCCUAGUACGAGAGGACCGGAGUGGACGCAUCACUGGUGUUCGGGUUGUCAUGCCAAUGGCACUGCCCGGUAGCUAAAUGCGGAAGAGAUAAGUGCUGAAAGCAUCUAAGCACGAAACUUGCCCCGAGAUGAGUUCUCCCUGAGACUACAAGUCUCCUGAAGGAACGUUGAAGACGACGACGUUGAUAGGCCGGGUGUGUAAGCGCAGCGAUGCGUUGAGCUAACCGGUACUAAUGAACCGUGAGGCUUAACCUU
Molecule: ribosomal RNA, 2992 nt
Filed under: Salmonella enterica subsp. arizonae
Lineage: Bacteria; Pseudomonadati; Pseudomonadota; Gammaproteobacteria; Enterobacterales; Enterobacteriaceae
Description: 23S ribosomal RNA
Rfam family: Bacterial large subunit ribosomal RNA
Source: RNAcentral